CCUACGGGUGGCAGCAGUGGGGAAUAUUGGACAAUGGGGGGAACCCUGAUCCAGCCAUGCCGCGUGUGUGAAGAAGGCCCUCGGGUUGUAAAGCACUUUCAGUGAGGAAGAACGCCUGGUGGUUAAUACCCAUCAGGAAAGACAUCACUCACAGAAGAAGCACCGGCUAACUCCGUGCCAGCAGCCGCGGUAAUACGGAGGGUGCGAGCGUUAAUCGGAAUUACUGGGCGUAAAGCGCGCGUAGGUGGCUUGAUAAGCCGGUUGUGAAAGCCCCGGGCUCAACCUGGGAACGGCAUCCGGAACUGUCAAGCUAGAGUGCAGGAGAGGAAGGUAGAAUUCCCGGUGUAGCGGUGAAAUGCGUAGAGAUCGGGAGGAAUACCAGUGGCGAAGGCAGCCUUCUGGACUGACACUGACACUGAGGUGCGAAAGCGUGGGUAGCAAACAGGAUUAGAUACCCUAGUAGUC
Molecule: ribosomal RNA, 465 nt
Filed under: Vreelandella stevensii
Lineage: Bacteria; Pseudomonadati; Pseudomonadota; Gammaproteobacteria; Oceanospirillales; Halomonadaceae
Description: partial 16S ribosomal RNA
Rfam family: Bacterial small subunit ribosomal RNA
Source: RNAcentral